RNAcentral lists this ribosomal RNA (250 nucleotides) under uncultured bacterium. Its description in RNAcentral is "partial 16S ribosomal RNA". It matches the Rfam family "Bacterial small subunit ribosomal RNA", at positions 355 to 597 of the family's 1533-position model. The record is from RNAcentral.
UGGGGAAUUUUGGACAAUGGGGGCAACCCUGAUCCAGCCAUGCCGCGUGAGUGAAGAAGGCCUUCGGGUUGUAAAGCUCUUUCAGUCGGGAAGAAACGGAGCGCUCUAACAUAGCGCUCUACUGACGGUACCGACAGAAGAAGCACCGGCUAACUACGUGCCAGCAGCCGCGGUAAUACGUAGGGUGCGAGCGUUAAUCGGAAUUACUGGGCGUAAAGCGUGCGCAGGCGGCUUUGUAAGACAGGUGUGA